Molecule: long non-coding RNA, 365 nt
Organism: Oncorhynchus tshawytscha (Chinook salmon)
Lineage: Eukaryota; Metazoa; Chordata; Actinopteri; Salmoniformes; Salmonidae
Source: Ensembl
UACACCACAGGAUGUUAUGAAAGUGAAAACAUGGAGUAUGAUUUCAAGACUUGCUGCUAUCGAAUACAGAUCGCCCCGUGAUCAAUUUGAUAGAUUAUUAAUGUUUAUUAAUACCUAAAGUUGGUUUAGAUAAGUAGUUUGAAGUGAUUUGUAAAAGUAUAUAGGCAACUUUUGUAAUUUUAAAAAGUGACGUUGCGUCUUGUAAAGGGGCAUUUUUCUGGAUCAGACCGGUCUUCAGCAAAUCAGAUUUUGGGUAUACAAUGACGGAUUUAAUCGGGAAAAAGACCCAAUUGUGAUGUUUAUGUGACAUAUAGGAGUGCCAAGAAAGAAGCUCAUCAAAGGCUCAGGAGAGGUGAAGUCAUGUG